RNAcentral lists this ribosomal RNA (253 nucleotides) under uncultured bacterium. RNAcentral describes it as "partial 16S ribosomal RNA". It matches the Rfam family "Bacterial small subunit ribosomal RNA", at positions 524 to 776 of the family's 1533-position model. The record is from RNAcentral.
CACGGGGGGAGCAAGCGUUGUUCGGAAUCACUGGGCGUAAAGGGCGUGUAGGCGGUCAGGUAAGUGAGAUGUGAAAUGCCCCGGCUCACCCGGGGACCGGCAUCUCAUACUGCUUGGCUUGAGUACGGGAGAGGAUGUGGGAAUUCCUGGUGUAGCGGUGAAAUGCGUAGAUAUCAGGAGGAACGCCGGUGGCGAAGGCGCACAUCUGGCCCGAUACUGACGCUGAGGCGCGAAAGCUAGGGGAGCAAACGGG